Molecule: unclassified non-coding RNA, 197 nt
Filed under: Ophiostoma setosum
Lineage: Eukaryota; Fungi; Ascomycota; Sordariomycetes; Ophiostomatales; Ophiostomataceae
Description: internal trancribed spacer 1
Source: RNAcentral
GCGAGUUUUCAACUCCCAACCCUUGCGAACCGUACCCCGUUCUGUUCUCGUUGCUUCUGGCGGGAGGGGGGGGGCGCGUCCUUCGGGGCGCGCUCCUCUCUCCCAGGUCCCUUCGGGGCGCCCGCCAGCGGCCGCGAGCCGCCCGAACCUUUUAUAAACUGUAACUGAAACGUCUGAGAAACAAACAAAAACAGCCA